RNA transcript from Medicago truncatula (barrel medic), 3821 nucleotides. It is a transcript of the gene named putative pentatricopeptide repeat-containing protein At1g12700, mitochondrial, with no coding region annotated. The record is from RefSeq and is a predicted model, not a curated record. NCBI's taxonomy places the organism in Eukaryota, Viridiplantae, Streptophyta, Magnoliopsida, Fabales, Fabaceae. The transcript has 4 exons.
AUCACUAAUUUCCGUCGAAGCUUUGUUUUGUUUGUGUCUUAAAACCCUCACAAUCACCCACGAAGUGCCAGUUGCUGACGCUCAAAUGUCUUGGUUGUUAUUGUCAUCCAGGUUUCGUUCUUCUUUUUCUUCUUCUUCUUUUAUUUUUCCCUUCUUAACAAGAAGACCAUAUUCUCACUCUACAUUCAUUCCCAAUAAUUUUGAUGAUGUUGAUAAUGCUGUUUCUUCAUUCAAUCACAUGUUUCGUAUGAAUCCUUCUCCAUCCAUCAUUCAAUUUAACAAGAUUUUAGGUUCCCUUGUUAAGUCUAACAACAAACACUACCCUACUGCUAUUUCUCUUUUUCACCAAUUAGAAUUCAACGGAAUUAUUCCUGAUAUUGUUACUUUCAAUAUUCUCAUUAAUUGUUACUGCCAUCUUCGGGAAAUGGAUUUUUCCUUUUCUAUGUUGGCCAAGAUUCUUAAAAUGGGUUAUCAGCCGGAUACCAUUACCUUUAAUACUCUUAUCAAAGGUUUGUGUGUUAAUGGUAAGGUCAAGGAGGCUCUGCACUUUCACGAUCAUGUGCUUUCACUUGGAUUCCACUUGGACCAAGUUAGCUAUGGGACCUUGAUCAAUGGCUUGUGUAAAAUAGGGGAAACAAGAGCAGCCUUGCAAAUGUUGAGAAAGAUUGAAGGGAAAUUGGUCAACACCAAUGUGGUAAUGUACAGCACAAUAAUCGAUAGUUUGUGUAAAGAUAAACUUGUAAACGAUGCCUAUGAGUUAUAUUCUGAAAUGAUUACAAAGAGAAUUUCUCCCAAUGUUGUCACUUUCAAUUCUCUAAUUUAUGGAUUUUGUAUUGUUGGUCAAUUCAAAGAUGCGUUUCGUUUGUUCCAUGAAAUAGUAUUGAAAAACAUCAACCCAGAUGUUUAUACUUUUAAUAUAAUGGUUGAUGCUCUAUGUAAGGAAGGAAAGAUGAAAGAAGCUAAAAGUGUGAUAGCUGUGAUGAUGAAAGAAUGUGUGAUGCCCGAUGUUGUUACCUACAAUUCAUUAAUGGAUGGAUAUUGCCUAGUUAAUGAAGUCAAUAAGGCCAAACAUGUGCUAAUCAUUAUUUCUAAAAUAAGAGUGGCUCCUGAUGCUCAUAGCUAUAGUAUCAUGAUUAAUGGAUUAUGUAAGGUUAAAAUGGUCGACGAAGCCUUGAGUCUCUUUUAUGAAAUGCGUUGCAGAGGAAUUGCUCCUAAUACGGUAACUUACAGUUCGCUCAUUGAUGGUUUGUGCAAAUCUGGGAGAUACUCUUAUGCUUGGGACCUUGUUGAUGAGAUGCAUGAUCAUGGCCAUCCACCCAAUAUAUUCACUUACAAUUCCUUAAUAGAUGCUUUAUGCAAAAACCAUCAGAUUGACAAGGCUAUUGCAUUAGUUAAGAAAAUCAAAGAUCAAGGCAUUCAACCAGAUAUGUGCACAUACAAUAUACUUAUUGAUGGACUAUGCAAAGGAGGACGACUUCAUAAUGCACGAGAUGUUUUUCAAGAUCUUUUGAUCAAGGGUUAUAGUCUAGAUGUUCAAACGUAUAAUAUUAUGAUCAAUGGACUUUGUAAAGUGGGUUUAUUUGAUGAAGCGGAGGUCUUGCUGUCAAAAAUGGAAGACAAUGGCAUAAUUCCUGAUGCUGUAACUUAUGAAACUAUCAUCCGGGCUUUCUUUCAUAAAGAUGAGAAUGAAAAGGCGGAGAAACUUCUUCGUGAAAUGAUUGCUAGAGGUCUACUUAAAUGGAAACACUAGUAGGUUUGCACGUCAACUGUUCCCUGUUAAGCGCAUCAAUUGCUUCGUGAUUUAUUACUCUGAAAGGCAAAAUGUAUUGUUCUAGAAACUAGAUGCAAUUGGCAGCAAAAAAUAUUCAGUUGAAGAAGCUAAAGUAUGACAUAAGCUACUUACGGUUUCUGACUGCUAUGUUAUAAUUCGUUCAUAUAUUGUCUAGUCUGUCUUGUAGUAUUUGUGAUCUUUGACUGGUGUGUGAUACAGUUCAGGAAUGUAAAAAUAAGUUUGGGAUAAUAGAAGAGGUUUGGUCAUUACAAUGAUAUCUUGGAUCUGGUUUGGUCAUUUGAUGUUGAAUUGUACACAGUUUUCUGUUUUCAAAAGGCUUAAUUGCACUUUUGGCCCCCUAUCUUUCCAAAAGUUGCGAUUUUGGCCUCCUAACUAAUUAAAAUACAAAACAGCCCCCUAUGUAUUGGAUCUUUGGCAGUUUUGGCUCCCAAGGCCACUUUUAACUUAAUCUUCGCUGACAUGGCACCUCACUUAAAGGAUGUGUGUGUCGAAUGGAGGUGAGUGACUAAACUAGAGAAGCAGUGCAAUAACAAACCAACUGCUCAAGUAACAAACAUUACUGACAAAGUUAUGAGUGUUAGUGGUGUAUUUUGAUUUUUAUUAUUUUGUGCACUUCUGAUUUAUAUCAAUGUCUUUGAUUUUCAUUUUCAAGAAGGCAAACUAACCAACUAAAAUUGACAUCGAAAAAAUCAAAUUUAACACCUUAAAAGGAGCACAUUUAAUUUCAAAAUCCAGUUAACUUUAAUAAUCAUCUUAAUUUAUAUACUCUUAAAUGUAAAUUAUCAAACGAGAAAAAACAAAUUUAGUUCAAUCAAUUUACAAGAUUGGUUUUUUUUUUUUUUUAAAAAAAGAAAAAAUUAUACUGAAUUAAGAAGAUCAUAGAUUGACAACCUGUUUCCAAUAAAUUUUCAUGUUCUAUUUUCCAUCCAAGGUAAAUACUGAUGGUGCUGCAACUAGAAACCCUAGAAAUGCUUCUACAGGUGAUAUAUUCAGAGACAAGGAAGGUUUGUGUAUAGGCUGUGUUGCUCAAAAUCUGGGAAAUGUAAAUGCUUACCAUGGAGAAUUAAUGGCUGCCAUCAUUGCUAUGGAAAUUGCACAAAGCAGAAACUUCAACCACUUAUGGCUAGAAACGGAUUCCCAGCUAGUUUAUUUGGCUUUAAAAUCUUCUUCAUCCAUUCCCUGGAAGUUGACAUUUAGAACAGACUAUCUGCCUUUGGAAAAUAAUGUGGGCAGACCAAGCAACAAUCAGAGCAGGUAUUGAGAAAUUUGCAUGGAGAAGAGUUGCUUUUUUCACCGAAUUCGAAACGAGGAGUACUUUAACUCUUUUGGAUGCUGACUGAGCAGCAUAUUCCGUGAGUUUGAGUCGUCUACCAGCGUAGUUCCUUUAGUGGUAUAAUCUGAAGGCCACGUCAUUUGGCUAUAAAGUUACCUUAUGGUUCACCAUGAUUGGGUCAUUCACUGUUGCUCCAUCUUGACUCAGAUUUCAGCUUGAUCAUGUAAACACAGUCACCAUUGAUCUUGUUUCGUGUUUUUCCAGCAUCGACUCAAUGGGCCAAACUGAUUCUGGUUCUGUUUCUUUCCUUCCCAGCACACCAAUCCAAUGGGCUAGUUGCACCAAAACUUAGUCAUUCUUUUCUGCUUCUGACACUAACACUUGUUCGAAGCAAUUAUCAUCGCCGCCUUUUUCACCUCACGACGACCCAGCGAAUGCAUGGUUUUGUCUUGUCCUCUCGACAUUCUUUUGUACCCAAAAGGAUGUCAAUAGCGUGCUAUAGCACAUCUGUAGCGGUAUAGCAAAGCAGAAGGAUGCAUGGCUGCUAUUGAAAGUCGGCAGUGGAGCAGUUUGCUGGAGUGCCCACUAUAGCAUCUAAGUCACUGCUGUUUGUGGCUGCAACAGCUGCUAAAAACCGUGUUUAAUUAACCAUUUUUUUAAUUUGAAUUUAAUGUUUAGUUCUUCUAAGCCUUAGAUGCUUAAACUUGUUGUUUUCUUGACUUGUUUUGGUAUUUAGUUCAUUCUAUGUUUGCUUAA